Molecule: ribosomal RNA, 497 nt
Filed under: uncultured bacterium
Lineage: Bacteria
Description: partial 16S ribosomal RNA
Rfam family: Bacterial small subunit ribosomal RNA
Source: RNAcentral
GAUGAACGCUGGCGGCGUGCCUAAUACAUGCAAGUCGAGCGAACAGAUGAGGAGCUUGCUCCUCUGACGUUAGCGGCGGACGGGUGAGUAACACGUGGAUAACCUCCCUAUCAGACUGGGAUAACUUCGGGAAACCGGAGCUACUACCGGAUAAUAUAUUGAACCGCAUGGUUCAAUAGUGAAAGACGGUUUUGCUUUCACUUAUAGAUGGAUCCGCGCCGCAUUAGCUAGUUGGUAAGGUAACGGCUUACCAAGGCAACGAUGCGUAGCCGACCUGAGAGGGGGAUCGGCCACACUGGAACUGAGACACGGUCCAGACUCCUACGGGAGGCAGCAGUAGGGAAUCUUCCGCAAUGGGCGAAAGCCUGACGGAGCAACGCCGCGUGAGUGAUGAAGGUCUUCGGAUCGUAAAACUCUGUUAUUAGGGAAGAACAAAUGUGUAAGUAACUAUGCACGUCUUGACGGUACCUAAUCAGAAAGCCACGGCUAACUACGUG